This 66-nucleotide transfer RNA is filed under the name Microcerotermes parvus. Its description in RNAcentral is "tRNA-Phe". Lineage: Eukaryota; Metazoa; Arthropoda; Insecta; Blattodea; Termitidae. The record is from RNAcentral.
ACUUGAAUAGCUUAUAAUUUAGAGCGCGACACUGAAGAUGUCGAUGAGGCGGCUUGCCUUCGAGUA